Molecule: RNA transcript, 1163 nt
Organism: Drosophila obscura
Lineage: Eukaryota; Metazoa; Arthropoda; Insecta; Diptera; Drosophilidae
Exons: 6
Source: RefSeq, a predicted model, not a curated record
AUUCAUUAUUACUCGUAGGCAUCGCCAUGAAGCUUUUCUUGGUUCUACUCCCUUUCUUUGCUAUGACUACAUCCGGAAUUCAUUGUGCCACCAACUGCUCGCUAGCCUGCAACAGAAUGUACUGGCCCCAUUGUGGUUUUGCCCAUGACUGUAAUUUGGAAGCAGACAAUGCGUGUAUUUUGGGCUAUGAGAUCUGCAGACGUGGGGAAACUAAUAUGCCACCAUUUGAAAGAACAGCCGCUAAAGAGUGUCCCACCAAUAAACCCAAAUGCCGACGUGUAGAUCCGUAAUGAGAAGAUGGUAUCUUUGGGAUUGGAAGUUGUAGAACAGAACCCCAUCGCAUCGAAAUAUUCAGUUGCAAAAAAUGUUUUUCUUUACCGAGCAUUCACAUUUGAAAAAAAGCAACCCAUGCAAAAGGAAAUAUUAUUUUUACUGCAUGAAAUUAAUUAUUAAUUUUGCGCCAUUUAACGACUCAAUUUUGAUCUAUAAAGCCCGCUUGCAUGACGCUGAAAAUAUUUAUAUUUUUGGAAUAUCCCAACUUUUAAGCAUACAUUAAGGUACUCGUCUGUAUUUGCUACCCAUAAAAUCCAUAAAUCGAAAAAAUAAAAAUUAUGGUCGAUAUAUUUGUGGGAAUAAUGUGGAACAUAAAUAGAAAUACGACUAUAGUCUCCUGAAUUUAUGUAUGCAGUUCACAUUUAUCAAAGGAGCUCAAACAUCUGCUUGAAGUGGGAAUACUCUCUGCAAGAGGCAUAUCCGGGGUUAUGCAAACUGAAUCUAAUUGCUUGCAAAAUGAUAAAUGUUGCGCCCAACAGUCUGGAUCAUUGUGUGGUGUUAAAAAAUAUUCAUUCUAUUGCAAUAUCCCAACUAAGAAUGGUCAUGAGCUAUGACCACGUCAGCCAGUAUUGACGAUGGCUGUAAGUCAUUCUGCCCUUUUGUCAUCAACCCAGUAUGUGCUUUUGAUGAAAAUGGUGUUGGUCAUGACUUAGCUAACAGUUGCAGGCUCGAAAUGGCUGAAUGCCAGCGUAAGAAUAUAAAAUUGCCACCAUUCAAAAAGGUUACCUUUACCCACUGUCCUACACGUAAGAGGUAAUAUGUAUUUGUUUUCAAUCAAAUAAAUAUUAUUAAGUACCCAUUAUGGUUCCAAUAUCUGUGGGGAAAUGCGA